Long non-coding RNA from Phalaenopsis equestris, 721 nucleotides. RefSeq lists it as uncharacterized. The record is from RefSeq and is a predicted model, not a curated record. The transcript is spliced from 3 exons. NCBI's taxonomy places the organism in Eukaryota, Viridiplantae, Streptophyta, Magnoliopsida, Asparagales, Orchidaceae.
UAGAGAUUCAAUAAAAGGUGUCAUUAAAGAUGCAUUUACUGAAUGUGCCAGAAUAAUAGAUAUUUUGCACAUGCUCGGUGCCUCCAAUUCUCGUGAAGUUUUACUUAAGAGUAUAUGUGAAAUGUCUGUUGUGGAAAUCUUAUUCCCGAACUCAUCCCUCUCUUUUCCAUUGGUGAAACAGUGGAUAAAGAUGUUAUGUAAAGAAUUUAGAGAUGUCGAUCGAGUGGAUAGUGCUCCAUUGCUUGCUUCAUCGUUGCUUGUCCAUUGUCCAAGAUUGCCAAACAAUAUUUUGGGAGAGAUUCUUGAACAGGCAUGGUCUCAUAAAACUAUUGUAAUGACAUGAGAUUUUCACUUCUUACAUUAGUAUUCUACAUUAAUUCUAUAUUGGAUUUACAGGAACUUCAAGCAUAUGAUCAACUAAAAGCAUGGAACCCUGUACAUUGCCAUAAAAUGGAGAUCAGAGUAAUCAAUUUUCUCUUGAUGAAUGUUUUUAAUUUUAAAGAUUUCAACCUGCAGAGAUCUAGGGUUCUUUUGAGGAAGAGUUUGGUACUUAGAACUCGUGGGAUAGAAAGUUUCUUCAGCAGUUUUGGCUGUCUCAGUGAAGCUAUUUCCCUUUCGGAGACUAUAACUUAUGAUUCACCGGAAACAAGCACUUUUGGAUAUCAUUAUUUGGCUUUUGUUUAUUUCCUACGAGCACAAAUUGCUGAAGAUACUAAAAAGG